This is a non-coding RNA of Callithrix jacchus (white-tufted-ear marmoset), 4090 nucleotides long. The record is from RefSeq and is a predicted model, not a curated record. Lineage: Eukaryota; Metazoa; Chordata; Mammalia; Primates; Cebidae.
UGGAGGAUGACAAGCUCCUGACUGAUAGAUACACGGAGACUUCGCUGAUGAUUUAUUGGCUUUCUGCACCUGACGAGAGCCACUAGGCCUAUCUGAGGAGGGAAAUAUAUGGGCUUUCCUGACUCCAAGUGGCAGCCCCGGGGCGAGCAUGUGAUGUCAAGCUGGGCAGGGGAGAGCGGAGCUGUGCACCGGCCUGUGUCCUGUAAGCCGGCCCGGGUUGUAAAAGUGUCAGCACACGAUAUAUUUCUUGCAGGGGAUCCUCUCUGGCUCCAGCCAGCCCCUCUCCCCGGUGGCUGGCAGCCGCCCUGGCUGGGCUUGCACGCAGCGGGUGCCCCAAGUCGCUAUCCCUCCACCCUGCCCAGAGCGUGGGCGCCCUCAGGUGCUCCCUCCAGCCUGGAGUCUCUCACGUGGCACCUGGCCCUGGGGACACUACAGCAGCGCAGGAGUUAAUUGCUGUUACUCCUGACUUCAGUGAAGGAGGCCGGUCACAGGGUGAGAUGUGGAAGCUAGGACCUGUGCCCCAGCAAACUCAACGUUCCCAGAGAUGAACCAAGCUUCUUCCUCGGACUUGGCUGGGGCCUGGAGUGGAUGUUCAGUUUACUGGUCAGGCUCCAGGCCUUAUAUCUUGAAACUGUUAAGUCUCUGAAUUCAUAGACAAUUCCGAGUCAGGAUGGAGGCAAAGAAGAGGACCUGAGGUUUACUGUUCACGAGGUAGGUGGGGAAGGGAUUGAAAAAUAAGAGGAGAUGGAAACUGCAUUUGCACCAGGAGGGUUUGAUGAUUUUGACCAAGUCAGUGAAUUGGAGCGCAUCUAUCUAUCACUAAUGGUUCUGUCUCCAAUUAGAGUGCAAGUUUACUCCUGGGCCCUCAACAAUCGAAAUACGUGCUCGUUCUUCUUUCGUAAAGCUCCAUUCUUCCAUGAUCUUUGGAAAUGAGCCAACACUGCAUUUUGUUUGCAUCAGUUUUUUAAAUGUUGCAAUUGGAACAUUGAUAUGCUUUUUAAAUCAGGAGAUACACUUAAUUAAAUUAGGAUUAAUUACAUUAGGAGAUGAAUUUGAUUUAAAGCAUCAAUAUGCUCUUGUCUCUCAUCUUCCCCCUUUUUUCGUCUCCUGCCCUGAUCUUGGAAAAACAUUUACUGGGUAAAUGUCUGGCUGAGUGACCUCAUAAAGGUGUUCACUGAUGCCGAGGAGUGGCUGAAGAGGAAAGAACACUCAAAGCAGCAAGAGCGAAACCUGCAGUAUGGCAGGAGACGUCAUCAGGCCGGUCCAUAACCCUGGCAGCAUCAUCCAGGCCAGUGGAUUCAGGAAAUCAGUGACCACGGGAUGGUUUCUCCGCUGGAGGGAAGCUCAGUCUGCACCUGAGCAUCGUAAACAUGUUGUUACUUUGCUCUCUCACUGGCCGAUCCUGUCCAAGCCGUACACUCAGCGCCUCAGUCGGGUUUGCUACUGCACGCCUCUCUUCGGAAAGGUCAUUGGAUAGAAGGAGAAGCGCCCAAGUCCUUCACACAAAGCAGGUGUCUAUCCAUUGAUUGCCAGGCGUGGCCGCUACUGUUGCCUUUGGACAGAGGACCCUACGGGGAUGGGGCUGAGCAGCAUGCUAGAUGGAGUAACUGAGAACAGAGUCGGGAGACAGCUCGCUCGGGAAUCCAGAACGACAGAAUGAUUUGAUGGUGGAGCCAAGACUCAGUUCUUACUUCCUGCCUCAAAAUCCAAUGCAACCCAGGAAUGACCUUUCUGGGCAAUGUUAGAAACGUGACCAUAUGAAAUGGAGAAUUUAGAUCGCAAUUCCCUGGACCACAUCCAGGACACUAAAAUGACUGUGCUGCUCUUGUAAAAUGCAUUCUAAGAAUUAUUUACUGUUCUGAAUGUAAUUUAGGGUAAAGCAGAUCUUCUUUGGAGACUCCAGGCUAAUCCCACAUUUCUUCCCCACCCAAGCCCUGUGGACAAUGACUUGCAUUAACCCCUACAGGGUGCAGAGCACUGCUGUGCCUCAUGUUUAUAAAGAAGGCGAGAUGAGAAGGAACCACCCUUGAAAGAGCAGCAUGAGGAUGAAUACAAAGGCCCCAGCCUGUACAUAAAUAGCCCUGUAUAUGUGGGUCUCACGUCCCAUGCUCCAGCUGACCCAUCAGGACGCCUAGAGACAGUAGCGAUACUUUCAGCGGCUACGGCAGGCCUCCUCUCUGCAUUCUAGAGUGGCUGCUGUGCUCCUCCAAUGUCAGAUGACUCCUUAUUUCCGGCUGCUGGAACCUGACCUCAACGUUCAUCUUUGGUUUUCCCCGCAUUUUGUUUUCAAGGCCUCAGGUUUGGACUCAUCGGUCUGGCACACCCUCCUCCCAACUCCUCCAUUCUUCUAUGCUAAAGCUGAUCUGAGGUCCCCUUUUUAAAAAUUUGGCACAAUUUAACAGAUACAUGCUGAGUGUCCAAGAGAUACAAGGUCGCUACACUAGGAUUCACAUAUCACUGAAUAACAAGAAUGAUUAUUUUCAAGGAACUUAGAAUUUAAUAGAGAGGAUGAGAAAGGAACUUAUCAGCUUUCUUUCAAAAAAAUGGAGAAAAAAAUGCCUCUUGGAAACAUGCAUAUUUGAACACAGACAGAAGCUUGCCCAAAUUCUUUCUAGAAAUAACUGUAUUGGUUGCGGGUGGGUGUAAAAGAGGAUGAGGAUAUGGUAAGCAUUGAAUGAAUUUUAGUUCCAUGGUGGACUGAAAGAAAAACGUUUACAGAUGUUGCUACAUGUUUGCUUUCUUUUUCAGUUACAUUGAAACAAAGUUCUAUCCACAGAUGUUGCCCAGGGCCGAUGGAAGAAAACCAACCAUAAAGAGAGCAUUAAGAUUAUUGUAUUAAUCAGUUUGGGCUGCCAUACAAAAUACUAGACGAGGUGGCUUAAACAACAUAAAUUUAUUUUCUCACAGUAUUAGAAGCUGGAAGCCCAAGAUCGAAGUGUUAGCACAGUUGGCUUCUGCCAAGGGCUGUCUUCCUGGCUUUAGACAGCACCAAUAUGCCGCAGCCUCACAUGGCAGGGAGAGAGAGCGCAGAGAGCAAGCACUUUGCAGUCUCCUCGCAUGAUGGCACUAAUCCCAUCAUGAAGGCCCCACCCUCAGGGCUUGAUCUAACACUACCUCCCAGAGGCUCCAAAAACCAUCCCAUCAAAGGCUAGGACAUUAGCAUAUGAAUUUUGGGUGGACAAAACUCAGUUCAUGGCAGAGAUAUACAUUAUUUUGUCAAGGGCCGGGCGCGGUGGCUCAAGCCUGUAAUCCCAGCACUUUGGGAGGCCGAGGCGGGUGGAUCACAAGGUCAAUAGAUCGAGACCAUCCUGGUCAACAUGGUGAAACCCCAUCUCUACUCAAAAUACAAAAAAUUAGCUGGGCAUGGUGGCGUGUGCCUGUAAUCCCAGCUACUCGGGAGGCUGAGGCAGGAGAAUUGCCUGAACCCAAGAGGCGGAGAUUGCGGUGAGCCGAGAUCGCGCCAUUGCACUCCAGCCUGGGUAACAGGAGCGAAACUCCGUCUCAAAAAAAAAAAAUUAUUUUGUCAAAUUUCAAAUCAGAGUAAAAUUUUCUCUAAAAUUGUACUGCUUAGCACAGUAUUAAAUGAAAUACUAUAUGUGAAAUGCUCAGAAGAGUGUCAAGUCCAUAAUAUGAAUGACAUGAAGAUUUGCUAAUAUUUUUAAAAUCCUACUUGAGAUAACUUUAAAUGCAAGAAAUCCACAGACCUAUUCUUUAAAUUACUUACUCAUGUUGGCUUCGUUAUUGCCUUAGUAUUCUUACCAAGAUGUCAUGGAGGAUAGUUAACUUUUCACUUCUCAUUUUAUAUGUGACCUUCAAGAGUAAGAUUAUUAAGUUGCAUGGGAGAUUUAGAAAAACCAUACUUGAAAUUUUAAUGGCCUUAAUUUUUUUUUCUUUUUUUUAAGAUGGGGUUUCACCAUGUUGGCCAGGAUGGUCUCAAUCUCCUGACGUCAUAAUCCGCCCGCCUUGGCCUCCCAAAGUGCUGGUAUUACAGGCCUGAGUCACUGCGCCCGGCCUUAAUUUUUUAACAGCCUUGAAAAAAAGGUAUUUGUUAUUCGCAUCGGAUGGUACCAAAUAUUAAGCGCAUUUAAUA